Molecule: ribosomal RNA, 447 nt
Filed under: uncultured bacterium
Lineage: Bacteria
Description: bacterial SSU rRNA
Rfam family: Bacterial small subunit ribosomal RNA
Source: RNAcentral
ACUCCUACGGGAGGCAGCAGUGGGGAAUCUUGGACAAUGGGGGCGAACCCUGAUCCAGCCAUGCCGCGUGAGUGAUGAAGGCCCUAGGUCGUAAAGCUCUUUCGCCUGUGAAGAUAAUGACGGUAGCAGGUAAAGAAACCCCGGCUAACUCCGUGCCAGCAGCCGCGGUAAUACGGAGGGGUUAGCGUUGUUCGGAAUUACUGGGGCGUAAAGCGCACGUAGGCGGAUCGGAAAGUUGGGGUGAAAUCCCGGGGCUCAACCCCGGAACUGCCUCCAAAACUAUCGGUCUAGAGUUCGAGAGAGGUGAGUGGAAUUCCGAGUGUAGAGGUGAAAUUCGUAGAUAUUCGGAGGAACACCAGUGGCGAAGGCGGCUCACUGGCUCGAUACUGACGCUGAGGUGCGAAAGUGUGGGGAGCAAACAGGAUUAGAUACCCUGGUAGGAUAGCG